UACGGAGGGAGCUAGCGUUGUUCGGAAUUACUGGGCGUAAAGCGCACGUAGGUGGCUUUGUAGGUCAGAGGUGAAAGCCUGGAGCCCAACUCCAGAACUGCCUUUGAGACUGCAUCGCUUGAAUCCAGGAGAGGUGAGUGGAGUUCCGAGUGUAGAGGUGAAAUUCGUAGAUAUUCGGAAGAACACCAGUGGCGAAGGCGGCUCACUGGACUGGUAUUGACGCUGAAGUGCGAAAGCGUGGGGAGCAAACAGG
Molecule: ribosomal RNA, 253 nt
Filed under: uncultured bacterium
Lineage: Bacteria
Description: partial 16S ribosomal RNA
Rfam family: Bacterial small subunit ribosomal RNA
Source: RNAcentral